Ananas comosus (pineapple) is the source of this 2989-nucleotide long non-coding RNA. RefSeq lists it as uncharacterized. The transcript is spliced from 2 exons. The record is from RefSeq and is a predicted model, not a curated record. Lineage: Eukaryota; Viridiplantae; Streptophyta; Magnoliopsida; Poales; Bromeliaceae.
UUCUAGCUAUAUAACAUAAAAUCUUCUGUGCGAUCUGAAGGUGCAUGCUAGUUGAUUGGCUUAUAAAUUGGAAAUUGAAUUUAUCACAAAGGAUAGUGUUAGAAUCUUGAGUGUUGAAUGUUGAAGUGUUCUUGCUAAACUUUGAACUAGCUUCGGUUAACUAAGAGUUAGCUCAUACGGGUUAGACUCAAAAAUAGGUGAGGAGAUAGGUGUGCAAUUUAGUAUUUUGGAGAAAUCAAUGCAUCUGAAGAAACAACCGGAAGAAUAUCAAUAUAUAAAGUAUCAUGUUAACAUACUCUAAGCAAUUAGACAAUAUAUAAAGUAUCAUGUUAACAUACUCUAAGCAAUUAGACAAAUGACGAGUUAUUUGAAUUGUGCUCUUGAACCCUUUCUAUAUGAAAAAGAUGUUGGAGCAUGUCAGCCAAGCGAGCUGCACCUAUUUACAGCCAUAAAAAGCCUUUUGUAAAUUGCAAUCAUGAUUGGGAUAUGACAAAUCCAUGAAGCCAUGAGGUUGUCUUUUGUUUACUUCGCUCAUUUAGAAUGCCACAAAGAAAAGCAUUUUUUUAACUCAUAGGCCAACCAAAAGAAACACAUCGAAGAGAACAACUAAAGUUGAGCAACAUUUUAAAACACUAAUGGUCUAAUUGAAAUCAAUACCCUUUGUGAUGCUCCGAUAGUCCUAUAUUGGAUAGAAAAAAGAUUAUGUGCACGUAUAAAAAGAAUAAGCACUCUUAGUAUAAUUAUUAGGCUUAAGCAUUUUAGGCCAAUGAUUCAGGCCAACAAGUUGACAGUAUUAGUGUGUUGAAUUGUUACAUUUGGUAUUCGGUGUUGGUUGUCAGCUGGAAGUGUGGGCUGUCUCUCACAUUUUCUUGGUGAUUCUUGACCAUGUUGGAUUUGGGGUCCACUUAAACAGAACAAGUUGAUUCCAGUUCUUGUUUGAGAGUUUGAAACAUGUGUUCGCAAGUGCUUGCAUUAUGGUCAGAACUAAUCAUGAAUUCACUUGCGCCAUCACUUGUGUGAAAAUGAAGCAACAGAACCACCAUUUCAUCGCAGCUGCUAACCGAGAUAAGUUAUAAUGUCGUAAGCUUGUACUAUAGAAGCUUUUAAACAACAGUUAUCUGUAAGUGUGAUUGUACAUCAAAUAGUUAGUACAGAUGUAAUAAAGCAAUCAACAAAGUAGAACGUGGCUGUGCAGGGCCUUCUUAUUCUCUAUUAGGGAGAAAAUUCUUCACUAAAAAUAAUAUUUGGUGUAUUAUAAUGAAAUAAUUUUCUUCUCUUUGCCUGCAGUAACUACUACAAGGAAAAGUGACUUACAGAGCUUCCUCAAAAUAAAGGUAACAUUAGUUGCGUAGCAUGGGGUACUUACAUCUUGCUCUAAACAGAUGAUUAUUCUAUUUGAUCUUCUUUCGGAAUAACUAGUAAGUUUGACUGCGCUGUUCCGUGAUAUUUAUCAUCCAUAUAUAUGUACACACUUAACGAGCACUUACUUCGUCAGAUCCCAAAUUACUUGAACCAUUUUAGUUUAUGAUCCAAAUCAUGAUCAUUUGUAUGAUAAAAAUGAUUAUUACUUUUUUUGGAUUACAUGUAUUUAUUUUACCAAUUUGUACAUUACAGAGAAAAGAACUUAGAAAUCACCUUAUCAUGAAAGUGACAAUUAGUUGAAUCGGCCUUUCCCUUCCUGCAAAAUGCCAAGGGAAAUGAUUAUCUAGCUCUCUCAAAACAACACCUCGCAACAUAACAGCAGCAUAUAUAUUAUAUUGCAAAGCUUUAUUCAAGUUAAGAAUUGGUUAUAAUUGUUCAUCUGGCUAGCUACCUAAAUUUUCUGCUUCAAUUGAAAAAGGCCAGGCCAAACCUACUAGUUUUGACUUUCUGAGCAUCACAAGAUUACAGAGCAGCACCGAUACAAUUAUCGCACUUUUACAAAUAGUCUCUAGAAAUGCUAUAUAUAUAUUUGCCCCAUUCGCUCUGUUUCCUUAAUUGUUAUGUGCUGUGAAAAUGAUCUAAUACUUGGAUGAAGCAUGAUAGAACGUCAUUCGAGUGUGAUUUUCCCUUCCAAGAAAAGGGAAGAGCUGAUUCUCAAAGGGCAAACCUUCAAGCUGCAGUUGCAGCUGCCAACUAUUGAAUGGCUUCUUGGCGUAAAACCAUGAGCCUCCGUAUCCGGUUUAUAAUUAGCUAAUUUUAACUUCUGGCCGUAGCAAGAGCUUUACACAUUUUGUUUGCCAAAUGCUAAUAUGUUGCUUUCUGUUUUCUAGCUAUACUUACUUGCGCGUGCAUUUCCAUCGUCUCUUAACUCUUUGCAUGUAGAGCAAGAUGAGCUUCAUCAGAAGUACUGAAAAAUCCCAUUAUCAUUCGAUCGGGCUCGCACGGUUGCCAGAGAAAUAAGAACUCGAUUCGUCGAAGCAUUAAUAAUAAGGAAAGAUGUGGUAGUUUUGUUGAUGCUAAGAGCGGGAAAAGGGCGCGUGCAUUGAUGUUUGGGUCUUUUCUCCGUGAUACGGCCUGUAUUGUAAACAAGGCAUCUUCAUGCACUUCAUUGUACAAACAGAGUGAUGGUGAACAUGUCACAACAAAGAUAAACAAUUGGUGGGUUUCUUUUUUUUUAAUCUCUUUUAAACCUUAUGUUAUUAUGAGAAUAACGUUCUUGUACUUGCAAGGAUGCUCACUUCACCAGAUGCCAUGCAUGAUGCAUGCACCUGGGCCUUGUUUGUUAACCCAGAGCUCGAUCCCAUGCAGGACGGCAAGUUCUCUCUGUACGGUUUUGUUAAUAUUUUGUAGUCAAGACAAGAUGGUGCUCGGCAGAGCCGGCGGUGAUAGUGGUGAGGAGUACGAAUUUGGUUCUUUGUAAUAUUUUAUUUUUAUUUUUAUUUUUCAUGUAUAGACUUAAUGUUGAUGAAACUUGAUUUCUUUUGUUUAGAUGUUCAAGUAAGGAGACCUAUACACAUGUUUUCUCUUAAUCUAUGUUUGUAUUUAGAUUUGGGGAUUGUUAUCUUUU